RNAcentral lists this long non-coding RNA (294 nucleotides) under Mytilus galloprovincialis (Mediterranean mussel). The record is from RNAcentral. Lineage: Eukaryota; Metazoa; Mollusca; Bivalvia; Mytilida; Mytilidae.
GUAGACUUCAUUUGCAGAAAAAAAUGACAGCAGAUAUCUAAGGAGGCAAUCGAAAAUCCAUACUCAAUGAAAGCGAAAAUACAAAAAUAAAGAAUAUCGACGAAAAGACAAACAAUCGUCACAGAAAACCAAAGACUAAACAACACGAACCAAUAUCCAGAACGUAAUGUUAGCAUGGUCAUGUAUAUUGACCUUCGCAUGGUUUGUUUUGGUUGUUGCACAAGAGUUUGACAGUUUAUUGUUACCAUUUUUUUUCCUAUUCGGUACAUAUAUUAUUUUGAUUUGACCUUUUUU